AAAUAGCAGGAGCCGCCCCACCUCUCAAGCAGGGCCCUUAAAAAGCCCUGAGCUCCAGAGUCAUGACUUAUCCCAGAAACUGAUCCUGCUUUGGGGGACUCUCUUCGCAGAAGCACAGGAAGGAAGGACCACGUGGCUUUUCCCAGGCUGUGAAGGAUCCCAAUUAUUGGGACACACGGUGGGAAAGCCCCGGUGUCCCUUAAACAAUGGAUAAGGAGGAAACAGGGACGGAAUGAAGUGGAAAGCUGUUCCUACGGAAGCCAUCAGUUAUGAGGGCCCAGGGGCCAGGAGACAGAGGCAGGGGGAGGAGAGGACUACCAGGGGGAGUAUGCAGCAGACUGGGGUCUGGAACAAUAAGAAGAAAGGACUCCUCUCCGUUUCCAAACGGCACUUGCGAAGGGGAACGGAAGGCACACAACAAGGUCCUCACCGGAGCAGCGGAAAUCCGGCGGUUCUUGCCAGGUGUCGUAUUUUUUCGGUUGGCAUAGCGGGAGGCAUAGGUUCGGGGCGGCACCUGAGGGGGCAUGGUCUUGCUCCGGGCCACGGGUUUUCCGGGAGUGUCCUUGCUGAAGUCCAGGGGCCCCCGGCCCUCCUUCCAGCCCCUGGUGGUGUCACGCAACAUUUCUGCAUCGUAGGUUGACUUCAGGUUGAGCCGUGUAAUCGCAUCAUUGAUCCCGUCAUAUCGGAAGAGGACA
This is a long non-coding RNA of Lynx canadensis (Canada lynx), 695 nucleotides long. RefSeq lists it as uncharacterized. The record is from RefSeq and is a predicted model, not a curated record. The transcript has 4 exons. NCBI's taxonomy places the organism in Eukaryota, Metazoa, Chordata, Mammalia, Carnivora, Felidae.